This 468-nucleotide ribosomal RNA is filed under the name uncultured bacterium. RNAcentral describes it as "partial 16S ribosomal RNA". It matches the Rfam family "Bacterial small subunit ribosomal RNA", at positions 28 to 507 of the family's 1533-position model. The record is from RNAcentral.
GACGAACGCUGGCGGCGUGCUUAACACAUGCAAGUCGAACGGAAAGGCCCUGCUUUUGUGGGGUGCUCGAGUGGCGAACGGGUGAGUAACACUUGAGUAACCUGCCCUUGACUUUGGGAUAACUUCAGGAAACUGGGGCUAAUACCGGAUAUGAGCUCCUGCUGCAUGGUGGGGGUUGGAAAGUUUCGGCGGUUGGGGAUGGACUCGCGGCUUAUCAGCUUGUUGGUGGGGUAGUGGCUUACCAAGGCUUUGACGGGUAGCCGGCCUGAGAGGGUGACCGGCCACAUUGGGACUGAGGGACGGACCAGACUCCUACGGGAGGCAGCAGUGGGGAAUAUUGCACAAUGGGCGGAAGCCUGAUGCAGCAACGCCGCGGGCGGGAUGACGGCCUUCGGGUGGUAAACCGCUUUCGCCUGUGACGAAGCGUGAGUGACGGUAAUGGGUAAAGAAGCACCGGCUAACUACGUG